RNAcentral lists this ribosomal RNA (248 nucleotides) under uncultured bacterium. Its description in RNAcentral is "partial 16S ribosomal RNA". It matches the Rfam family "Bacterial small subunit ribosomal RNA", at positions 57 to 305 of the family's 1533-position model. The record is from RNAcentral.
GCAAGUCGAGGGGCAGCAUGGGACUUCGGUCCUGAUGGCGACCGGCGCACGGGUGAGUAACGCGUACACGACCUACCUUCGAGAGGGGAAUAGCCUCGGGAAACUGAGAUUAAUGCCCCAUAGUAUUAUUAUAGUAAGUAUGAUAAUUAAAGAUCCGUCGCUCGAAGAUGGGUGUGCGUAUGAUUAGAUAGUUGGUGAGGUAACGGCUCACCAAGUCUACGAUCAUUAGGGGGCGUGAGAGCGUGGCC